CUAGUGCUGCUAAUUGCACAUACAGUUGCAACUCCUUAACAAUUGAACUAAUUGCAAUUUACUUUAUUUGUUCACAUAUUUUGAUCGGACUAAAAUGAUUAUUUUUAUACAUAUUUUUAAGAGAUAUUGAACAGCCAUUUGUUCAAUCAUGAAGGACAUUCAUAAGAGUUUAUAUGUUUUUUCCUUUUUUUAGAUAAUUGGGAUGAUGAAUGGGAUUACAUGAGAUUGAACCUAAGCUCUCACGCCUACAACAUAAUACUUUUGCCAUUUGGCCAAGAG
RNAcentral lists this long non-coding RNA (279 nucleotides) under Gossypium barbadense (sea-island cotton). RNAcentral's name for it is "long non-coding RNA (GBAR_LNC022247)". Lineage: Eukaryota; Viridiplantae; Streptophyta; Magnoliopsida; Malvales; Malvaceae. The record is from RNAcentral.